CAGAUCUUCUACUAUUCGACGUCCAUCUUCGAGGGGGCGGGGCUUCAGGACCCGGCCGUCGGCACCAUCGGGACGGGCGUGGUCAACGUGGCGGCCACCGCCCUGUCGGUGGUGCUGGUGGAGCGGGCGGGGCGGCGCGUGCUGCAGCUGGUGGGGCUGCUGGGCAUGAUGGGCUGCGCCGGGAGCCUGGCGCUGGCGCUGACGGUGAGCGGCACCCCGAAAUCCACCCGGGACCCCGAAAUCCAUCUGGGACACCCCGAAAUCCAUCCCUGAGAGCCCAAAAUCCAUCCUGGGACACCCCAAAAUUCAUCUGGGACACCCUGAAAUCCAUCNNNNNNNNAAAUCCAUCCUGGGACACCCCCAAUCCAUCCGGGACCCCAAAAUUCAUCUGGGACACCCCAAAAUUCAUCUGGGACACCCUGAAAUCCACCCGGGACACCCCAAAAAUCAUCUGGGACACCCUGAAAUCCAUCCCUGAGAGCCCAAAAUCCAUCCGGGCACCCCCAAUCCAUCCGGGACCCCAAAAUUCAUCUGGGACACCCCGAAAUUCAUCUGGGACACCCCGAAAUCCAUCUGGGACACCCCAAAAUUCAUCUGGGACACCCUGAAAUCUAUCCCUGAGAGCCCAAAAUCCAUCCUGGGACACCCCCAAUCCAUCCGGGACCCCAAAAUUCAUCUGGGACACCCCGAAAUUCAUCUGGGACACCCCGAAAUCCAUCCGGGCACCCCGAAAUUCAUCUGGGAGACCCCGAAAUCCAUCCCUGAGAGCCCAAAAUCCAUCCGGGCAGCCCCAAUCCAUCCCGGCACCCCGAAUCCAUCCCGGCACCCCGAAAUCCAACCCCGGGACCCCGAAAUCCAUCUGGGACACCCCGAAUCCAUCUGGGCACCCCGAAUCCAUCCCGGCACUCCGAAUCCAUCCGGGCACCCCAAAAUCCGCCCCGGGACCCCGAAAUCCAACCCCGGGACCCCAAAUCCAUCCCGGGCACCCCGAAUCCAGCCCCGAGAGCCCGAAAUCCCACCCAGGACCCUGAAAUCCAUCCUGGAAAAAAAAAAUUCAUCCUGGUGGGACCCCAAA
RNAcentral lists this long non-coding RNA (1075 nucleotides) under Lonchura striata (white-rumped munia). Its description in RNAcentral is "domestica (Bengalese finch) lncRNA (ENSLSDG00000003881.1)". The record is from RNAcentral. Lineage: Eukaryota; Metazoa; Chordata; Aves; Passeriformes; Estrildidae.